Molecule: non-coding RNA, 514 nt
Filed under: Triticum aestivum (bread wheat)
Lineage: Eukaryota; Viridiplantae; Streptophyta; Magnoliopsida; Poales; Poaceae
Description: Bacterial large subunit ribosomal RNA
Rfam family: Bacterial large subunit ribosomal RNA
Source: Rfam by way of RNAcentral
UGCGGUGGAUACCUAGGCACCCAGAGACGAGGAAGGGCAUAGCAAGAGACGAAAUGCUUCAGGGAGUUGAAAGUAAGCAUAGAUCCGGAGAUUCCCAAAUAGGUCACCCUUUUAAACUGUCUACUGAAUCCAUGAGCAGGCAAGAGACAACCUGGCGAACUAAAACAUCUUAGUAGCCAGAGGAAAAGAAAGCAGAAGCGAUUCCUGUAGUAGCGGCGAGCGAAACUGGAGCAGCCUAAACCGUGAGAAUGGGGUUGUGGGAGAGCAAUACAAGCGUUGUGCUACUAGGCGAAGCGGUUGAGUGUCGCACCCUAGAUGGCUAAAGUCCAAUAGCUGAAAGCAUCACUAGCUUACACUCCGACCCGAGUAGCAUGGGGCACAUGGAAUCCCGUGUGAAUCAGCAAGGACCACCUUGCAAGGCUAAAUACUCCUAGGUGACCAAUAGCGAAGUAGUACCGUGAGGGAAAGGUGAAAAGAACCCCUAGUGGGUAGUGAAAUAGAACAUGAAACCGUG